RNAcentral lists this small nucleolar RNA (126 nucleotides) under Echinops telfairi (small Madagascar hedgehog). RNAcentral's name for it is "Small nucleolar RNA SNORA61 (ENSETEG00000025079.1)". Lineage: Eukaryota; Metazoa; Chordata; Mammalia; Afrosoricida; Tenrecidae. The record is from RNAcentral.
ACCCUCCAGAUCCCUUACCCAUCGCAGCUAAGCAUGGAUCUGAGGGGCUGUGAAAGGAGGACCAGUGACACCGAAAUCGAGUCGGAUUCUUAGUGACGUACAAGUUCGUUUUAAAAACAAAAAAAU